Molecule: RNA transcript, 5663 nt
Organism: Ictalurus punctatus (channel catfish)
Lineage: Eukaryota; Metazoa; Chordata; Actinopteri; Siluriformes; Ictaluridae
Gene name: adenylate cyclase, terminal-differentiation specific
Exons: 10
Source: RefSeq, a predicted model, not a curated record
AAACAGUAUCAUUCUGUGAUAACAGUGUCCGAUGGGGUUUCAAACAUGCAUCAUCUCUGUGUUCUACUUUGGGGGCUUUUUGUUUCCUGUCACUGUGAUUCCAGAGAUCCCUUUUUUGUGAGUCAGUUUCCGUCCACGCUCGUGCUGAGAAGAGGACAACAGGUUCAGAUCCGCUGCAGCUGGAACAUUAGCAUCACCAGCGCAAAAGUGAAAUGGUUUAAAGACUACCGCACCUUGACGUUGAGCCGAACCGACAGCGUCAUUCAUACACAAGCCAGCGAACACGAUUCAGCCUUAGUUAUAAAAAACGCUGAUUUACAUGACGCAGGAUUUUAUGAGUGUGAAGUUACACAAGACAUACCUCAGCUGUCGAAGGUGAACGGAACGGGGACAAACGUCACAUUUCAGACAGAAACUGAGCCUGUGACUACCGUCAAACCCGUUUCUACUGCCUCACCCAGUACAGACCAGCCUGUUACUACUACAAAACCAGUGUCUACUGCCUCACCUAAUAUCAUAUGGGCUGCGGAAGAAGUUUAUGACAACGAACCCAUCAUAUUUGUGGUUCGAUGUGUGCCCUUCAUCAUGUUACUGCUGGCUGUGUUCUUUCUGAACAGAGGCAAAAAGAAUAAAAGACCAAGAGCAGGUCCACAAACAGCAGAAAAGGAAGACUUAGUCGUGGAGGAGGAGAACGAACAAAAAGGACGAGAUCAACUCGGACAAGAAAGAAACGAAGAAUAGAGGGAUAGACAACUAGGACAGGAAAGAGGAGUGGAAACUGAGAAGGAAUUAACGGCAGAGGAAGGAGACGUGAAAUAGAGAGCUGAGCAAACACAGGGAAGAGAAGUGGACGUGGUGAAAGAUUAACAGGACAAGAAAGAGACUUGAACAAGAGAAGUGAGGAAUUGAAUUAAUGUGUUGAAUUAGCAGAUUCAUGUAAGUGCUAGAAAUCAUGAUUCUUUAAACAACACCCUCGUCCGGAGGGAGGGUCGGAAACAAUGCACUAGCUUGUUUAUUGGCAACUCAUGUGGUAGUAUAACACAUACUGAAAACAAUAACUAACCACAGAGGCUCACAUGUAUGCAAAUUAGUGUUCCUUAUACAGAAGGAAGUCGCCUCAAGAGUCAGUCGGUCCAGUGUCCCAACAACCCAAACUGCAACACAAAACAUUUACGUCUCAGUCCAGGAUAAAGGCUUUAAUGUGCAGUGGUAGCCAGCAGUACAGAGUCUCUUGCAGGUUUCUUGCACCUGGCGUAGCUGCUCUUUGAUAAAGUCUUGAACAGCCUUGUUGUUCAGUGAGGCCUGUGCACAACUUGGGCUGUUCUUACAUAGACUUCUAACAUUCACAGCAAUGGCAAAGCUCCUCAGCACAAGGAAUGGGAGCCUCCGUCCCGACCCCUUUCACCCCCCGUCCCUUUUCCUCUAUACUGCUAUCGCCGAGUUUAGAGGUAAGGCCCGGGCAGAUGUGCUGGCAUUGUAGUGAGCUGGGACAUUUCCCAGACUAAUGCGCAUGUUGGAGUUGGAGUCAGUGAUCCAGAUUCACACAGACACCAUUGAUUUCACCCCACUCAAGUUUGGACAUACUGCAUACUUUAGCUGUGAGCAUUCUAGGGGGAACAUAACACACAUUACUGGAUUCAAUUUGGCUUAAACCUUUGUUAUUUGAAGUGUGAGAGUUCCUGCAAACCUCCAGUGGGUUUUCCCCAUUUAAAUGACUAUACGGGCUCUCAGAAGCACUCAGAACUCCAACCUGAUCAAGGGUGUGGUCAGUGCAGGGCAACACAUAGCAGUCCUGCUUGGUGAUGGCAUGGAGGUGGCAGUAAUCCACACAGAACCCCAAGAUGCUAUUCUUGACUAGUACAGCUCGGACCACCCAGUGUCUAUUCAAUGGCUCAAUCAUCUCAUUUACCUUUGGCUCUGCCAUUUGCUUCUUCUCCAACGGGUCUGUAGUGCGAUGGGGUGGGCGUGGGGGGUCCCUCGAGUGGUCUUGUCUACCACCUUGUGCUCUCUCCCUUGUCCGUGUCAGUUGUGGAUGAAAGGAGCAGUCAAAAUGAACAGGAAAUGAGUUAUUGUGUUAUUAACUGCAGCUUACUUGUAUGCUUCUAUCAGUAGACUGCCAGUGACCAAAGAGAGACGACAGCAGGAAGAGAGACGAAGAAAGACUAGUGGAUGAGAUUAUGAUUGGUUUAGUGGUUAGUGUGAGCCAGACUGUGCUCUGUUUUGAAAGUGUGCACUAUUUUGUGUAUUUUUGUACCCAAAGUAAAGAUAAAAAGAGCUCUCAACUCAUACACCUGUUUCUUCCCGUGUUCUUAGAGUAAAAAACGUCAUUCUUGGUUGUACAUAAAAUAAAUCUGGGGUUAUUUUGUUUGUGUGUUUGUACAAAACUGUAUUAAAUGUGUCUGACAAACAGGAACAAAACUCAGCCAUGAUCAAGACUCUUAGUGUUUUGUGGUCAGCGUUGAGGCCCAGGGUAUGAGCAUGUGUGACUGUGAAGGUGUUUGUAUUACAUCUUUUGUAUUGCGUAUGUAUGUGUGUGUGCAUGUGUGUGUGGGGGGGGGUGUGUGUGUGUGAGAUGGCCUGUGUGAGAUGAAACGAUAUUGCUGUGUGAUAUCAGAGUUUGAUGGGCUUUCAAACAUGCAGCAUCUCAUUCUUCUACUUGGGGGGCUUUUUGUUUCCUGUGCCAUUGGUCCCAGUGUUGGUUUUUUCGUGAGUCAGUCUCCAUCCACAGUCAAGCUGUGGAGAGGAGAACCAGUUCAGGUCACCUGCAGCUGGAACAUCAGCAUCAGUGGAGUAAAAGUGGCAUGGUUUAAAGACAAUCAGAGAGUUGAAUUUAAGCAAACUGAUAAAUUCACAGAAACCAACAACAACAACAACACCAGUUCAACAUUAGUUAUAAAUAACACUGAUAUAAAUGAUGCAGGGUUUUAUAUUUGUCAAGUUAUACAGGACAUACCUCGCCUGGUUACGGUAAACGGAACGGGGACAAACGUUACAUACGAGAGGGAAAAUGAGCCUACUACAGAGCGACUCGUUUCUACUACCUCACCCCAUAUAAAGCGUAAGUAACAUAUAUAAAUACAUACUCUGACCAGCCAUAAUAUUAUAGCCCUCUGCCUAAUAUUGUGUAGGUCCUCCUCUCCUUGUGCUCGCAAAACAGCUCUGAGUCUUCAAGAUAUGGACUCCACAAGACCUCUGAAGGUGUGCUGUGGUUUCUGGCAGCAAGAUGUUAGCAGCAGAUCCUUUAAGUCCUGUAAGUUGUGAGGUCGGGCCUCAGUGGAUCGGACUUGUUUGUCCAGAACAUCCCACAGACGCUCGAUCAGAUUGAGAUCUGGGGAAUUUGAAGUCCAAGUCAACAUCUUGAACUCUUUGUCAUGUUCUUCAAACCGUUCCCGAACAAUGUUUGCAGUGUGUCAGGACACAUUUUCCUGCUGAAGGAGGCUGCUGCCAUUAGGGAACACCGUUACCAUGAAGGGGUGUACUCGGUCUGCAGCAGUGUUUAGGUAGGUGGUACGUGUCAAAGUAACAUCCACAUGAAUGCCAGCACCCAAUCAUUCCCAGCAGAACAUUGCGCAGAGCAUCAUACUUCCUCCACCAGCUCACCUUCUUCCCAUCGUGCAUCCUGGUGCCGUCUCUUCCCCAGGUAAGCAACGCACACGCACCCGGCCUACACGUGAUGUAAAAGUAAACCAGGCCACCUUCUUCCAUCGCUCCAUGGUCCAUGUCUGAUGCCCAUUGUAGGAGAUUUUGGAGGUGUACAGGGGGUUGGGCACUCUGACCACUCUGCAGCUACGCAGCUCCAUACACAGCAAGCUGUGAUGCUCUGUGUGUUCUGACUCCUCUCUAUCAGAUCCAGCAUGAACUUUUUCAGCAGUUUGUGCUACAGUAGCUCUUCUGUGGUAUCAGACCAGCCGUCGCUCCUCACGCGCAUCAGUGAGCCUUGGAUGCCCAUGACCCUGUCACUGGUUCACCGUUGUCCUUCCUUGGACCACUUUGGUAGCUACUAACCACUGCAUAUAUGCAUAUUCCCGGUAUACCGGGAACACCCCGCAAGACCUGCCUUUUUGGAGAAGCUCUGACCCAGACAUCUAACCAUCACAAUUUCUUCCUUGUCAAAGUCGGCCAGAUCCUUACUUUGCACAUUUUUCCUACUUCUAACAUGUCAACUCUGAGAACUGACUGUUCACUUGCUGCCUACUAAAUAUGCCCCCCCCCCCCCCCCCCCCCCCCGACAGGUGCCACUGUAACAGUAUAAUCAAUGUUAUUCCCUUCACCUGUCAGUGGUUUGAAUGCUAUGUCUGAUCAAUGUACAUAAAUGUAUCAUAUUUUACUCACUCACGUAUGAAUGUAUAAUAUAAAAAUUAAUUACAUAAUAACAAAACAUACACAGUAUUUCUGCUGGUAUAUUAGUAUUAGUAAUAGUACUGUUAGUGUUAUAUUAUUAGUAUAUAUUACUAUACAGUAGUAUUUACAGUAGUAUAGUGUUGUACUAAACCCGGAAGUGAGUAGCUAUGACCUCCACCUUCUACAUCCCCCCUCCCCCCUGGCCUGUAGACCUUUGUGUACUAAUAAAGCUGCAAUCUCAGAUAUUUGUAAUAAUAUGAUAUUUUUAUUGUCGUAACCAGAUCGUGACAGACCGGACUCUCGCUCGAGCCCCGGUACAGAACAGGCUGAAAAUGAUGGACUAAUCGUUUUUGCAAUCCGAUGUGUGCCCUUCGUCACGUUACUGCUGGCCGUGUGUUUUCUUAGCAGAGAUAACAAAAAAUACAAACGGCCAAGAUCAGAUGGCAGAAGAACAAGCUUUAGUCAUAGAGGAGGAGAAUGAACAAAUGGGACAAGAACAAGAAAGAGAAGAAAAAUCUGGACCCAAUGAGAGGGAUGAACAAUCGGGACAAGAAGGAAAAGUGGAAGAGAGGGAUGAACAAUCAGGACAAGAAGGAGAAGUGGAAGAGAGGGAUGAACAAUCAGGACAAGAAGGAGAAGUGGAAGAGAGGGAUGAACAAUCAGGACAAGAAGGAGAAGUGGAAGAGAGGGAUGAACAAUCAGGACAAGAAGGAAAAGUGGAAGAGAGGGAUGAACAAUCAGGACAAGAAGGAAAAGUGGAAGAGAGGGAUGAACUAUCAGGACAAGAACAAAAAUUGGAGAUGGUGAAUGAAUUAACAGGAAAUGAAAGAGAAGUGGAAGAGGGGGAUGACCAAUUGGGACAAGAAAGAGAGGGAUGAACAAACGAGACAAGAACGAAAAGUGGAGAUGGUGAAUGAAUUAACAGGAAAAGAACUAGUAGUGGAAGAGAGGUAUAAACAAACGAGGCAAAGAAAAGAAGUGAAACGUGAAUGAAUUAACGGGAAAAGAAAGAGACUUGAAUGAAUGUGUUGGAUAGUUUAUAAUUCAGCAGGUAAAGGUAAAUGCUGGUUUUCUACAUGCUAGAUUUCGUGAUUAUUUAAUUACACAUUCACAAAUUUACAUUUACAUUUAUUUAUUUAGCAGACGUCUUUAUCCAACACGACUAUUAAAUGAGGAAAUACAAGCAAAGCGAUAUAUCAAGCGGAGAAGUAGUUCAACCAUACAAGUAGUGCUACUAUACAAGAUUUAUCAUUGAGUGCUAGAGGAGUAAGCUACACAGAGUAGAGGUGUAAGAGCCAGAGUAAGUGCAGAAUUUUUAGGGG